UGUGGAAGUCCCAUGUGAUGAAGA
Molecule: non-coding RNA, 24 nt
Filed under: Arabidopsis thaliana (thale cress)
Lineage: Eukaryota; Viridiplantae; Streptophyta; Magnoliopsida; Brassicales; Brassicaceae
Source: RNAcentral